AAUGACUCUUGGGUUUUGAGGGUUCUGGUGAUGAUGGUGUGGUGGUGCUGAUGAGAAAAAAGAGUAAUCUGUUUUAAUUGAAAGAUCUGAGUUUGGCCUCGUACUUUAAGGAAAUUGAGGUGUGGAAACAAAAGACAAUCUUGAACAGAAGACCAACAGAACUGCAC
This is a long non-coding RNA of Papaver somniferum (opium poppy), 167 nucleotides long. RefSeq lists it as uncharacterized. The record is from RefSeq and is a predicted model, not a curated record. The transcript is spliced from 3 exons. Lineage: Eukaryota; Viridiplantae; Streptophyta; Magnoliopsida; Ranunculales; Papaveraceae.